UGGGAAAAAUCAACAAUUAGGAUGUGAAGUUGAGUGGAGUAUCAUCGGGCAAAGAAAGGAAAUCAGGGAGGAAAAGAAAGGAAAUGAGGAAAAACAGAGAAUGCGAGUGCGAGAAAGAGAGAGAGAGAGAGGCGAUUGCGAGAGGUGAGCGAUCGGAGGCGAGUGCAGAAAACGAUUGAUCGGAAGUUCUGAAAGAGGUGAGGUCACGGUGGAUUUGGUGAGAGAGAAGAGUAUGGAAUCAAGAGUGCAACAGGAACUAAAACUGGAAUGCUUAGCCACGGACUCCAUACUUGAGGGAGAUAGAAUAGUAGUAUUGAACUUGAUAUGAAGUGUUACAAUUAAUUAUGUUAAAGUAAUAGAUGAUUCUCAUGUGUUUGUUUGUAUUCGUUAGAUUGAUUUUGGAUUAAAUGUUGUAUAUCUUGUAAAUAAUUGUUUUUAUUUUAUGGUAAAAGUCUUUACAGCGUUGGUUGAA
Molecule: non-coding RNA, 472 nt
Organism: Carica papaya (papaya)
Lineage: Eukaryota; Viridiplantae; Streptophyta; Magnoliopsida; Brassicales; Caricaceae
Source: RefSeq, a predicted model, not a curated record